GUUUGGAAUGUGCGAGAUGUGUGCGAGAUGAUACAUCUCGCACAUUUUAAACUU
Molecule: microRNA precursor, 54 nt
Filed under: Cucumis melo (muskmelon)
Lineage: Eukaryota; Viridiplantae; Streptophyta; Magnoliopsida; Cucurbitales; Cucurbitaceae
Description: miR7130 stem-loop (cme-MIR7130)
Source: miRBase by way of RNAcentral